UACGUAGGGACCGAGCGUUGUCCGGAUUCAUUGGGCGUAAAGAGCUCGUAGGCGGCUGCUCAAGUCGAAUGUGAAAACUCGAGGCUCAACCUCGAGCCUGCAUUCGAUACUGGGCGGCUAGAGUCUGGUAGGGGGUUCUGGAAUUCCUGGUGUAGCGGUGGAAUGCGCAGAUAUCAGGAGGAACACCAAUGGCGAAGGCAGCACUCUGGGACGUGACUGACGCUGAGACGCGAAAGCGUGGGGAGCAAACAGG
Molecule: ribosomal RNA, 253 nt
Filed under: uncultured bacterium
Lineage: Bacteria
Description: partial 16S ribosomal RNA
Rfam family: Bacterial small subunit ribosomal RNA
Source: RNAcentral